This 266-nucleotide unclassified non-coding RNA is filed under the name Hevea brasiliensis (rubber tree). The record is from RNAcentral. Lineage: Eukaryota; Viridiplantae; Streptophyta; Magnoliopsida; Malpighiales; Euphorbiaceae.
GGCUCUCUCAACCCUUUCUUCCAAGUCUUUAUACAGCAACGCCCAGUGUUUCUCUUCUCAGCAACACCACCAAAAGCACCAACCACCUCUCUUUCUCCUUCCCGGAAACAGGACCAACAAGCCCAGGUCUCUCCCCCCAAUCACCGCAGUUCAUGCUGCUGAGCCCGCUAAGAAUACUGUUUCAAUUGAGUCCAAGGCGGCGGUGCCCGUUGCUGCCCCGGGUGCCGGGAAAUGGACGUUGGAUAGCUGGAAAACGAAGAAAGCUU